UACGGGGGGGGCAAGCGUUGUUCGGAAUUACUGGGCGUAAAGGGCUCGUAGGCGGCCAACUAAGUCAGACGUGAAAUCCCUCGGCUUAACCGGGGAACUGCAUUUGAUACUGGAUGGCUUGAGUUCGGGAGAGGGAUGCGGAAUUCCAGGUGUAGCGGUGAAAUGCGUAGAUAUCUGGAGGAACACCGGUGGCGAAGGCGGCAUCCUGGACCGACACUGACGCUGAGGAGCGAAAGCCAGGGGAGCAAACGGG
Molecule: ribosomal RNA, 253 nt
Filed under: uncultured bacterium
Lineage: Bacteria
Description: partial 16S ribosomal RNA
Rfam family: Bacterial small subunit ribosomal RNA
Source: RNAcentral